RNAcentral lists this ribosomal RNA (253 nucleotides) under uncultured bacterium. Its description in RNAcentral is "partial 16S ribosomal RNA". It matches the Rfam family "Bacterial small subunit ribosomal RNA", at positions 524 to 776 of the family's 1533-position model. The record is from RNAcentral.
UACGAAGGGGGCGAGCGUUGUUCGGAUUUACUGGGCGUAAAGGGCGCGCAGGCGGCAGAUCAAGUCAGACGUGAAAGCCCCGGGCUCAACCUGGGAAUGGCAAUGGAAACUGGCGGGCUGGAGUAUGGCAGAGGGGGGUGGAAUUCCGCGUGUAGCAGUGAAAUGCGUAGAGAUGCGGAGGAACACCGAUGGCGAAGGCAGCCCCCUGGGCCAAUACUGACGCUCAUGCACGAAAGCGUGGGGAGCAAACAGG